UACGUAGGGGGCAAGCGUUGUCCGGAUUCAUUGGGCGUAAAGAGCGUGUAGGCGGCCAGGUAGGUCGGUUGUGAAAACUGGAGGCUCAACCUUCAGACGUCGACCGAAACCAUCUGGCUAGAGUCCGGGAGGGGAGAGUGGAAUUCCUGGUGUAGCGGUGAAAUGCGCAGAUAUCAGGAAGAACACCCGUGGCGAAAGCGGCUCUCUGGAACGGUACUGACGCUGAGACGCGAAAGCGUGGGGAGCGAACAGG
RNAcentral lists this ribosomal RNA (253 nucleotides) under uncultured bacterium. Its description in RNAcentral is "partial 16S ribosomal RNA". It matches the Rfam family "Bacterial small subunit ribosomal RNA", at positions 524 to 776 of the family's 1533-position model. The record is from RNAcentral.